RNAcentral lists this ribosomal RNA (1407 nucleotides) under uncultured bacterium. Its description in RNAcentral is "bacterial SSU rRNA". It matches the Rfam family "Bacterial small subunit ribosomal RNA". The record is from RNAcentral.
AGAGUUUGAUCCUGGCUCAGGAUGAACGCUAGCGACAGGCUUAACACAUGCAAGUCGAGGGGCAGCGGUGGUGAAGGCUUGCCUUUACCAGCCGGCGACCGGCGCACGGGUGAGUAACACGUAUGCAACCUGCCUGCCACAGCCGGAUAAUCGGGAGAAAUUCCGUCUAAUACGGCAUAAUGCAUCGACGGGACAUCCUGUUGGUGCCAAAGGUUGAUUCCGGUGGCGGAUGGGCAUGCGUCGCAUUAGUUAGUUGGCGGUGUAACGGACCACCAAGACGACGAUGCGUAGGGGUUCUGAGAGGAAGGUCCCCCACACUGGUACUGAGACACGGACCAGACUCCUACGGGAGGCAGCAGUGAGGAAUAUUGGUCAAUGGGCGGGAGCCUGAACCAGCCAAGUCGCGUGAGGGAUGACGGCCCUAUGGGUUGUAAACCUCUUUUGCCGGGGAGCAAAGUGCCGCACGUGUGCGGUUUGGAGAGUACCCGGAGAAAAAGCAUCGGCUAACUCCGUGCCAGCAGCCGCGGUAAUACGGAGGAUGCGAGCGUUAUCCGGAUUUAUUGGGUUUAAAGGGUGCGUAGGCGGACGCUUAAGUCAGCGGUAAAAUUGCGGGGCUCAACCUCGUCGAGCCGUUGAAACUGGGUGCCUUGAGUGGGCGAGAAGUACGCGGAAUGCGUGGUGUAGCGGUGAAAUGCAUAGAUAUCACGCAGAACUCCGAUUGCGAAGGCAGCGUACCGGCGCCCAACUGACGCUGAAGCACGAAGGCGUGGGUAUCGAACAGGAUUAGAUACCCUGGUAGUCCACGCAGUAAACGAUGAAUGCUAGUUGUCCGGGGCGAUUGAGUUCUGGGUGACACAGCGAAAGCGUUAAGCAUUCCACCUGGGGAGUACGCCGGCAACGGUGAAACUCAAAGGAAUUGACGGGGGCCCGCACAAGCGGAGGAACAUGUGGUUUAAUUCGAUGAUACGCGAGGAACCUUACCCGGGCUCAAACGCAGGAGGGAUGUUUUUGAAAGGAGGCAGCCAGCAAUGGUCUCCUGCGAGGUGCUGCAUGGUUGUCGUCAGCUCGUGCCGUGAGGUGUCGGCUUAAGUGCCAUAACGAGCGCAACCCCUACCUACAGUUGCCAUCGCGUGAUGGCGGGCACUCUGUGGGGACUGCCUGCGCAAGCAGUGAGGAAGGCGGGGAUGACGUCAAAUCAGCACGGCCCUUACGUCCGGGGCGACACACGUGUUACAAUGGCAGGUACAGCGGGAAGCCACCCGGCGACGGGGCGCGGAACCCGAAAACCUGUCUCAGUUCGGAUUGGAGUCUGCAACCCGACUCCAUGAAGCUGGAUUCGCUAGUAAUCGCGCAUCAGCCACGGCGCGGUGAAUACGUUCCCGGGCCUUGCACUCACCGCCCGUCAAG